GGGGAUGUAGCUCAAACGGUAGAGCGCUUGCUUUGCAUGCGAGCAUCUCCA
This 51-nucleotide transfer RNA is filed under the name Jatropha curcas. It matches the Rfam family "tRNA". From Rfam's summary of the family: Transfer RNA (tRNA) molecules are approximately 80 nucleotides in length. Their secondary structure includes four short double-helical elements and three loops (D, anti-codon, and T loops). Lineage: Eukaryota; Viridiplantae; Streptophyta; Magnoliopsida; Malpighiales; Euphorbiaceae. The record is from Rfam by way of RNAcentral.